AUUGGUCUUGGAAUGAGUUUUAAUCGAACCGAUUUGGACCUUUGAAUCUAAAAUUAAAUAAAGUCCAAUUGACUUAGACCCCAAAUUAAAUAGAAUAUCUACACACCAAAAUUUUCCUAAAUUAUGAGAUCAAAAAAUUCCAGAAUUUUCCAUUCCUUACCUUUAUUUCACCAAAACAAAGCGAUAAUCUUCAUUUUCUUCUCAAAACCAAACUCAUAAAAAUUUCUCUGGGAUGAGCAGAGUGGAGGGUAAAUUUGAGAUUAUUGACAACGAAUUUGAAAUCUAAAAUCUGUCUCUUUUACUUCAAUGACUCUCAAUGAUUCUUGAAUUGUAGUUCCUAAAACUCUCUAAAGCCACUUCUG
RNAcentral lists this long non-coding RNA (362 nucleotides) under Durio zibethinus. RNAcentral's name for it is "long non-coding RNA (DZIB_LNC001140)". The record is from RNAcentral. Lineage: Eukaryota; Viridiplantae; Streptophyta; Magnoliopsida; Malvales; Malvaceae.